Molecule: ribosomal RNA, 415 nt
Filed under: uncultured bacterium
Lineage: Bacteria
Description: bacterial SSU rRNA
Rfam family: Bacterial small subunit ribosomal RNA
Source: RNAcentral
UGGGGAAUUUUGCGCAAUGGGGGCAACCCUGACGCAGCGACGCCGCGUGGAGGAUGACGGCCUUCGGGUUGUAAACUCCUGUCAGAGGGGACGAAAUCCCGCAAGGGACUGACGGUACCCUCAGAGGAAGCCCCGGCUAACUACGUGCCAGCAGCCGCGGUAAUACGUAGGGGGCAAGCGUUACUCGGAAUUACUGGGCGUAAAGGGUGAGUAGGCGGCUUGGCAAGUCAAGGAUGAAAUCCCGAGGCUCAACUUCGGAACCGUCCUUGAAACUGCUCAGCUUGAGGGUAGUUGAGGAGAGUGGAAUUCCCGGUGGAGCGGUGAAAUGCGUAGAUAUCGGGAGGAACACCUGAGGCGAAGGCGGCUCUCUAAGCUACUCCUGACGCUGAAUCACGAAAGCUAGGGGAGCAAACGG